Centrocercus urophasianus (Greater sage-grouse) is the source of this 2010-nucleotide long non-coding RNA. RefSeq lists it as uncharacterized. The transcript has 4 exons. NCBI's taxonomy places the organism in Eukaryota, Metazoa, Chordata, Aves, Galliformes, Phasianidae. The record is from RefSeq and is a predicted model, not a curated record.
UGUGGUCUGCCAGGCUGGCUCUGCCGCCCUGGGCCCCGCAGGCCGCAGUGGCUGAGAAGAGCACAAGGGACACAUUCUGGCUGACUGCAUCAUUCUAACAGAUGCAACCAAAUGAUAUUAAACUAUGAUAUGAACCCUCAAAAUACAAAAUGCAUUGCAGGUAGGAGCUAAGCUUUUUGUUCUUCGGUGAAAUACGCCAAAGUCCAGGUAAGUGCCCAGGAGUUCAUACACUAUAGGUAAUGUCUGUGCAUCUAGGAAUUAAUCUCAUUUUAAACUGUGGACUAGCAUUUGAGUUAAAUAAGUACAUUAGUUAAGAAAAUCAGGCUGAUUUUCUUCCAGUGCUAGCACUUUUUUCAGUAUGAAGUUCUGGUUACUUUUCCUUUUCUUUCAGUUCAUUCUAACUGAAUUUCUAUCCAAAUGAUUAGCGAAGAUUAAAAAUACUAAUAAAAAUUUAUAUCACUACAAGUAUCCUAUGUGAAUUAUAACAUUGUUGCCGCUGCUCUUAUCUGAGCCCUGUGAGAGUUCUUGGCCUUUCAUGUUUUCUCAGUAGAGAAUUUACAGUAAAUUUUGGCCAUGAAAAUCAGAGCAGGAACAAAAAUUCUUUGAUUUCAAACAAACUCCCAAGCUAGCAUCUUAAUGCUUUCUAGUUUCCCAAAGGUCCCAAUCCUGCAAGAACUGCAUUUCAGUUCAAACUCUGUGGGAGUUGUGGGCACUCAACAGAAUUAAGUUAAUACCUGAGAAGAUGCACAAUUCAAAUAAAACAUGCUUGCCUAUACAAGCCUUUUCUUGCUAUUCCUUUAAACACCCCUAAGUCAUAGUACUAUGAGGGACCUGAUGAAUAAAGGGUUGCCUGUCACACCUCUUUCUUCUUACUUGCUGUAACUUCAAGUGGGAGCCAACCACACUUUUACAAAGAUUUUCAAAUCUGAGUAUGUCUGGACUUUGCAGCCACUAACAUCAACCUUGUACAACAUGUGGGGAGGUUGGCAAACAUGCAGAUACUGGUUUUAUUUUAAUGUAAAUGGCCUAAAUCCUUGCUCAUUGAAGUCAACAGAGAAACUCUCAAUGGGUCUCAGUGAAGAAAGGAAAAAUUCUAGAUGUAACUCAGCCACUUUUCAGGGUGCAAUUCUGACCUUCCUCAUCCUUUGUGUGUGUGGGUGCUGUGAAACCAGCACAUUUCAGCCCACAGUGGGAGUAAGGGGAGCAGGCGCUCAUAGUCUGCACCACCUUUAUAAAAUGCAAAUAGUGACAGCUAACACACUUUGGUGCCCACUGCUCAUGCAAACUGCUACAAUAUUUCAUCUGUGCAAGCCAUAUCCCUGCACUUCUGAGCACAAGCAUGUGAAAGCUGAGCAAUUUUUUCCUAUUACUGUUUUCUUUCUUUCCAGGCCAGCAGAAAAAAGUCGCUGGGCACAGCCUGCCAGGAGCUCCACUGCCUUCCACUACAUCAGGAUGCUCUCCACUGACAUGAACAAGAAUGAUACCAGCGACUCUGGGAGAACAGAGAAGAGCAGAAAACAAGACAUGGUCAUCUGAGUUUGCACCGAAGAUAUUGGAGAGACACAGCCCAGCAGGCCUGAGCCGCUCUCAAAGGCCACAAGUGACAUCCCUUUGGCCAUAGCCUGGAUGGACAGAUUGCAUAGAGGACACCUCCUUUCUCUUCCCUUUUGACUAGCCAAGCCAAACAAGCAGCUGCACUGUAGUAUGAACACCAUCAAAGACUUCAUCAAAGUUUCUCCAAAACAACUCUGGGAUCACUGAAAUGCAAAAUUAGUUCUCCAACUUUACAUUGCCAGCUAUUUCCCUCACAUCUAGCUCUUCAAGCUCUUACUCCUGUAAGAACUGAAGUUUGAGCAGCUGAAAAAGCAUUCAAGCCUUAUGAGAUAAUACUGCAAUGCAAACAACAUACAGUACACAGCAAAACAUCUGGCAGCACAAGAGCUCUGGUCAGUCACAGUUUUGUAUUUUUAACUUAAUAGAACUACAGAACCUUAUGGAAUAUGCUUUUGG